RNAcentral lists this ribosomal RNA (590 nucleotides) under Opecarcinus sp. SET12. Its description in RNAcentral is "partial ribosomal RNA". It matches the Rfam family "Bacterial large subunit ribosomal RNA", at positions 1831 to 2667 of the family's 2925-position model. Lineage: Eukaryota; Metazoa; Arthropoda; Malacostraca; Decapoda; Cryptochiridae. The record is from RNAcentral.
GUCUUUUUGUAAGUAUAAAAAGUCCGGUCUGCCCACUGAUGAGUAUAUUAAAGGGCCGCAGUAUUUUAACUGUGCAAAGGUAGCAUAAUCAUUAGUUCUUUAAUUGAGAUCUUGAAUGAAUGAUUAGACAAAAAAAUUACUGUCUUUAUAAUAAUAAUUGAAUUUAACUUUUAAGUGAAAAGGCUUAAAUAAUUUGAAGUGACGAUAAGACCCUAUAAAGCUUAAUAUUAUUAUAAAAUUUUUGGUAAGUUAGAUAUAAAAUUUUAAGGUUUAUUAAUAUUUUAUUGGGGCGAUAGAAGUAAAAAGUUUAAUAACUGCUUUUUUUUUAAUCAAGUAUGAAUGGUUAGUGUGUAAAUGAUCUUAUUUUAUAGAGUAAAAGAUUAAGUUACUUUAGGGAUAACAGCGUUAUUUUUCUUGAGAGUUCUUAUCGAAAGAAAAGAUUGCGACCUCGAUGUUGAAUUAAAAUAUCUAUAUAAUUGUAGUAGUUAUAUGAGAAGGUCUGUUCGACCUUUAAAUUUUUACGUGAUUUGAGUUCAGACCGGUUUAAACCAGGUCGGUUUCUAUCUUUUAAUUAAAUUGUAAUUAUUUUA